ACCACCCACGCGGGAGAGACCGCCCGGAAACCACCCGGACGGCGCCGAAGGGGCAGAUUCUCCCCGGAACCUCUCAGGCAAAAGGACCGCGUGGGCAGG
RNAcentral lists this non-coding RNA (99 nucleotides) under Micromonospora sp. RNAcentral's name for it is "Glycine sequence". It matches the Rfam family "Glycine riboswitch aptamer". Rfam says of the family: This family represents the bacterial glycine riboswitch. Lineage: Bacteria; Bacillati; Actinomycetota; Actinomycetes; Micromonosporales; Micromonosporaceae. The record is from RNAcentral.